Salvia hispanica is the source of this 394-nucleotide long non-coding RNA. RefSeq lists it as uncharacterized. The record is from RefSeq and is a predicted model, not a curated record. Lineage: Eukaryota; Viridiplantae; Streptophyta; Magnoliopsida; Lamiales; Lamiaceae.
ACAGUUGUUUCACUCCAAUCAAUCCCUUAGCUGUAGAUCGAAAAUAUUUUAAGACCGCAAAACGAAGAUAACUAUUGAGAGGAUGGAGAAAAAAGAUAAACCACGUUUUGCAUGCGCUUUGUCAUUGAAUUUCCCCUAUAAAUACCCCAUUUAUGCUAACACUAUAAACCACACCAACAAAUAUGCAUAUAUCAUCUCUUUAUUGCAAUUAAUUACAACAAUGAGUUUUUGUCAAGGAAAGGAUUCAUGGCCGGAACUAGUGGGGGUUUCCGGCGAAGAGGCUGUGAAGGUGAUCGAGAAAGAGAACCCGUUCGUGAAUGGCAUCAUUGUGCCUCCAACACAAUCCUUCAUCCCUUCGGAUUAUAGGUGCGGCCGUGUGUGGGUUUUCGUUGAC